This 352-nucleotide unclassified non-coding RNA is filed under the name soil metagenome. RNAcentral describes it as "partial contains 5.8S ribosomal RNA, internal transcribed spacer 2, and large subunit ribosomal RNA". The stretch from base 1 to 120 matches the Rfam family "5.8S ribosomal RNA", at positions 35 to 154 of the family's 154-position model. The record is from RNAcentral.
GAUGAAGAACGCAGCGAGAUGCGAUAAGUAAUGUGAAUUGCAGAAUUCAGUGAAUCAUCGAAUCUUUGAACGCACAUUGCGCCCGCCAGUAUUCUGGCGGGCAUGCCUGUUCGAGCGUCAUUACAACCCUCAGGCCCCCGGGCCUGGCGUUGGGGAUCGGCGGAGCCCCCCGUGGGCACACGCCGUCCCCCAAAUGCAGUGGCGGUCCCGCCGCAGCUUCCAUCGCGUAGUAGCUAACACCUCGCGACUGGAGAGCGGCGCGGCCACGCCGUAAAACACCCAACUCUUCUGAAGUUGACCUCGAAUCAGGUAGGAAUACCCGCUGAACUUAAGCAUAUCAAUAAGCGGAGGA